GCAAGUCGAACGGCAGCGCGGGCUUCGGCCUGGCGGCGAGUGGCGAACGGGUGAGUAAUACAUCGGAACGUGCCCUGUUGUGGGGGAUAACUAGUCGAAAGAUUAGCUAAUACCGCAUACGACCUGAGGGUGAAAGCGGGGGACCGCAAGGCCUCGCGCAAUAGGAGCGGCCGAUGUCUGAUUAGCUAGUUGGUGGGGUAAAGGCCUACCAAGGCGACGAUCAGUAGCUGGUCUGAGAGGACGAUCAGCCACACUGGGACUGAGACACGGCCCAGACUCCUACGGGAGGCAGCAGUGGGGAAUUUUGGACAAUGGGGGCAACCCUGAUCCAGCAAUGCCGCGUGUGUGAAGAAGGCCUUCGGGUUGUAAAGCACUUUUGUCCGGAAAGAAAUCGCGCUGGCUAAUACCUGGCGUGGAUGACGGUACCGGAAGAAUAAGCACCGGCUAACUACGUGCCAGCAGCCGCGGUAAUACGUAGGGUGCGAGCGUUAAUCGGAAUUACUGGGCGUAAAGCGUGCGCAGGCGGUUUUGUAAGACAGGCGUGAAAUCCCCGAGCUCAACUUGGGAAUGGCGCUUGUGACUGCAAGGCUAGAGUAUGUCAGAGGGGGGUAGAAUUCCACG
This 621-nucleotide ribosomal RNA is filed under the name uncultured bacterium. RNAcentral's name for it is "bacterial SSU rRNA". It matches the Rfam family "Bacterial small subunit ribosomal RNA", at positions 57 to 673 of the family's 1533-position model. The record is from RNAcentral.